GUAAAGUAAGUUAAUAAAACUGUUCGGCUCAUGUCCCAAAUACAGAGAUGAAAUUUCUCUCUUUACC
This 67-nucleotide transfer RNA is filed under the name Ophiura sarsii. RNAcentral describes it as "tRNA-Met". Lineage: Eukaryota; Metazoa; Echinodermata; Ophiuroidea; Amphilepidida; Ophiuridae. The record is from RNAcentral.